GGAAAUGAUACACUAAUUAAAUAGGCAAUUAAUGGAACAUUACAAAGAGAUUUUAUCACGACAGUUAUAUUAAACAAGUAUUACAAAAGAUUCCAAGAGUGUUAAGCAGUUGAUGCACUUUUUGAUAGAGCCCCAGCUGCAAAUAAGAGAUUCCUCCGAGAGAACCGCAAACUGUAAACCGGAGUCGACUUGGUUGGUAGAGUCUUCAAGGAUCUAAGUCUAUUGGCAGUUCCAGUUUUGUUUUCAUCUGUUCUUGGUGGCUUUGUGCUUGAAGUUACGUCCCAUAAUUUCACUGUGCAAUCGGCAG
This 307-nucleotide unclassified non-coding RNA is filed under the name Hevea brasiliensis (rubber tree). The record is from RNAcentral. Lineage: Eukaryota; Viridiplantae; Streptophyta; Magnoliopsida; Malpighiales; Euphorbiaceae.